UCACGUCGAUUCUAUUGAUCUGUGCCUAUCUUUCUCAGUAUUUGUACCGAUAAGAAUUAAACCUCAAGCAACAUUACUGACGCACUCAUGCCGGGACCAAGAAUCCAAUAUUAACGUGUUUCGUUUAUAAGGAAAUGUCAAGAAGAAGUGGACACAGAAUGCACAAACAGACCGUACUUCAGCACAAAGCUGGUGCUGUGAAAGAGGGCUGCUCCAGCAGGAGGUCUCCUUGUCCGUGUCUUGUAAAGAAAGCUGCCCAUGAAAUGAGGUCCGUGGCGGCCUACCUGUUCGCUGCAACGUACCACAGUGGUUUACACACAGGAUGAAGUGGAAACUGCUGCUGUACAUCUCUCUGAGUGGUUUCUUUCGCCAAACAUAUCGUUUUCCUUGGCUUCAUAAAACACGCAGCAGAACAUGGGGAGCCGGCCUGAAAAGUGUCCUUUCAGGAUGUAUAAUGCCAUGCUCUAUCCUGCCCCGUGUUACAAAUAUAAGCAUCACUUUGUUUCGUCUUGAAGUUUUGACUCCUUUGAGAGCCCCGCUCCCAGGUUUUUCCCUCGACGUACUGUAGGGAUUCUCAGCUAGGCUGGUGUCUUGUCGCUGUCGUUGGCUCUUUCAGUUGAGGUUUUCUACAGCAGCGCCCCUGUCUCCGGGCUGUGCUGUUGAGAGUCUCAA
This is a non-coding RNA of Lepisosteus oculatus (spotted gar), 672 nucleotides long. The record is from RefSeq and is a predicted model, not a curated record. NCBI's taxonomy places the organism in Eukaryota, Metazoa, Chordata, Actinopteri, Semionotiformes, Lepisosteidae.